CACUGCGUAGCUCAGUCUGGUAGAGCACUUGCUUUGGGAGCAAGGUGUCUAAGGUUCGAAUCCUUACGUGGUGA
Molecule: transfer RNA, 74 nt
Filed under: Caudoviricetes sp.
Lineage: Duplodnaviria; Heunggongvirae; Uroviricota; Caudoviricetes
Description: tRNA-Pro
Rfam family: tRNA
About the family: Transfer RNA (tRNA) molecules are approximately 80 nucleotides in length.
Source: RNAcentral